UCCAGUAUUUCGUGCUGCUGCUG
This 23-nucleotide microRNA is filed under the name Petromyzon marinus (sea lamprey). RNAcentral's name for it is "pma-miR-16-3p". Its record names the gene pma-miR-16-3p. Lineage: Eukaryota; Metazoa; Chordata; Hyperoartia; Petromyzontiformes; Petromyzontidae. The record is from miRBase by way of RNAcentral.